RNAcentral lists this ribosomal RNA (510 nucleotides) under uncultured bacterium. RNAcentral describes it as "partial 16S ribosomal RNA". It matches the Rfam family "Bacterial small subunit ribosomal RNA", at positions 28 to 507 of the family's 1533-position model. The record is from RNAcentral.
GACGAACGCUGGCGGCGUGCUUAACACAUGCAAGUCGAACGAAGAGCGAUGGAAGCUUGCUUCUAUCAAUCUUAGUGGCGAACGGGUGAGUAACGCGUAAUCAACCUGCCCUUCAGAGGGGGACAACAGUUGGAAACGACUGCUAAUACCGCAUACGAUCUAAUCUCGGCAUCGAGGAUAGAUGAAAGGUGGCCUCUACAUGUAAGCUAUCACUGAAGGAGGGGAUUGCGUCUGAUUAGCUAGUUGGAGGGGUAACGGCGCACCAAGGCGAGGAUCAGUAGCCGGUCUGAGAGGAUGAACGGCCACAUUGGGACGGAGACACGGCCCAGACUCCUACGGGAGGCAGCAGUGGGGAAUCUUCCGCAAUGGACGAAAGUCUGACGGAGCAACGCCGCGUGAGUGAUGACGGCCUUCGGGUUGUAAAGCUCUGUUAAUCGGGACGAAAGGCCUUCUUGCGAAUAGUGAGAAGGAUUGACGGUACCGGAAUAGAAAGCCACGGCUAACUACGUG